GUUAUUUUGUGGCCAGAGGGCGCGGUAAGACGUUGGGGUCGGGCUGUAUUCGGAGUUACUGGACGUAAAGCGGGCUGAGGCGGUCCUUUAAGUCGGAUGUAAAAUGUCCCGUCUUAACUGGGAGGGACCAUUCGAAACUGCUGGUCUUGAGGAUAGCAGAGGGAGGUGGAAUUCCCGGUGUAGUGGUGAUAUGCGUAGAUAUCGGGAGGAACACCAGUGGCGAAGGCGGCCUCCUGGGCUAUUUCUGACGCUGAGGCCCGAAAGCGUGGGGAGCGAACAGGAUUAGAUACCCCAGUAGUC
RNAcentral lists this ribosomal RNA (300 nucleotides) under uncultured Bacillus sp. RNAcentral describes it as "bacterial SSU rRNA". It matches the Rfam family "Bacterial small subunit ribosomal RNA", at positions 497 to 795 of the family's 1533-position model. Lineage: Bacteria; Bacillati; Bacillota; Bacilli; Caryophanales; Bacillaceae. The record is from RNAcentral.